Molecule: ribosomal RNA, 1481 nt
Filed under: uncultured bacterium
Lineage: Bacteria
Description: bacterial SSU rRNA
Rfam family: Bacterial small subunit ribosomal RNA
Source: RNAcentral
AGGGUUUGAUCCUGGCUCAGAACGAACGCUGGCGGCGUGGAUAAGACAUGCAAGUCGAGCGAUGAUCCAACGAUAGCAAUAUUGGAGGGGAUAGCGGCGAACGGGUGAGUAACACGUAGGAAUCUGCCCUGAAGUUCGGAAUAGCCCGUCGAGAGACGGGAUAAUACCGGAUGUGAUCUUCGGAUUAAAGGCUUCGGCCGCUUUGGGAUGAGCCUGCGCUCCAUCAGCUUGUUGGUAGGGUAAAAGCCUACCAAGGCGAGGACGGAUAGCUGGUCUGAGAGGACGGCCAGCCACAAUGGAACUGAGACACGGUCCAUACACCUACGGGUGGCAGCAGUCGAGAAUCAUUCACAAUGGGCGAAAGCCUGAUGGUGCGACGCCGCGUGGGGGAUGAAGGCCUUCGGGUCGUAAACCCCUGUCGGUUGCGAGUAAGGCCCGGCUUACGUCGGGAUUGAUAUUAGCAACAAAGGAAGGGGCGGCUAACUCCGUGCCAGCAGCCGCGGUAAUACGGAGGCCCCAAGCGUUGUUCGGAUUUACUGGGCGUAAAGCGUGCGUAGGCGGCGAGGUAAGUUUGGCGUGAAAGCCCCGGGCCCAACCCGGGAAAUGCGCUGAAAACUACUUCACUAGAGGUGUGGAGGGGAGUCUGGAAUUCCUGGUGUAGCAGUGAAAUGCGUAGAUAUCAGGAGGAACAUCAGUGGCGAAGGCGAGACUCUGGAAACAUUCUGACGCUGAGGUACGAAGGCUAGGGGAGCGAAGAGGAUUAGAUACCCUCGUAGUCCUAGCAGUAAACGGUGUGCACUUGCUGUGGGGGGAUUCGACCCCUUCCGUGGCGAAGCUAACGCAUUAAGUGCACCGCCUGGGGAGUACGGCCGCAAGGUUAAAACUCAAAGAAAUUGACGGGGGCCUGCACAAGCGGUGGAGCAUGUGGCUUAAUUCGAUGCAACGCGAAGAACCUUACCUGGGCUUGACAUGUUUGUCGUACCUGAGUGAAAGCUCGGGGUCAGUUCGGCUGGACAAUCACAGGUGCUGCAUGGCUGUCGUCAGCUCGUGUCGUGAGAUGUUGGUUUAAGUACCGCAACGAGCGCAACCCCUAUGUCCUGUUGCCACGGAGAACACGUUUCUCCAGCACUCUGGACAGACUGCCCCAUUUUUAGUGGGGUGGAAGGUGGGGAUGACGUCAAGUCAGUAUGGCCCUUACGCACAGGGCUGCACACGUGCUACAAUGCCCGGCACAAUGGGAAGCGAAAUCGCGAGAUGGAGCCAAUCCCCAAUACCGGGCCCAGUUCGGAUUGGAGUCUGCAACUCGACUCCAUGAAGUUGGAAUCGCUAGUAACGGCGCAUCAGCUACGGCGCCGUGAAUACGUUCCCAGGCCUUGUACACACCGCCCGUCACAUCAUGAAAGCCGGGAGCGCCCGAAGUCCGCGAUUACGCGGCCGACGGUGAACUUGGUGAUUGGGAUGAAGUCGUAACAAGGUAGCCG